GGUUCGAUCCUGGCUCAGCGGGGUCAGACGCUGGCGGGUGCUUACACCGCGCAAGUCGAACAGCAGCACAAGACUUCGGUCUGGUGGCGAGUGGCGAACGGGUGAAGUAUCAUAUCCGGAACGUGCCUAGUAGCGGGGGAUAACUACGCAGCGUAGCUAAUACCAUACAUGGCGUCGGGGAAAAGCAGGGGACCUUCGGGCCUCGCACUAUUAGAACUGACCGUCAUCAGUUCGCUGGUUGGUGGGGUAACGGCUCACCAAGGCGACGAUCCGUAGCUGAUUUGAAGGGACGACCAGCCACACUGGGGACUGAGACGGCCCAGACUCCUACGGGAGGCAGCAGUGAGGCCACUGGACGUGGAAACUGAUCCAGCCAUCCCGCGUGUGCGAUGAAGGCCUUCGGGUUGUAAAGCACUUUUUGGCAGGAAAGAAACGGCACGGGAUAUGCCCGUGCAACUGACGAAAACACCUGCAGAAUAAGCACCGGCUAACUACGUGCAACAGCCGCGAUAAUACGUAGAGUUACAAGCAUUAAUCAGAAUUACUGGGCAUGGCGUUGCGCAGGCGGUUCGGAAAGAAAGAUGUGAAAUCCCAGAGCUUAACUGGAACUGCAUUUUUAACUACCGAGCUAGAGUGUGUCAGAGGGAGGUGGAAUUCCGCGUGUAGCAGUGAAAUGCGUAGAUAUGCGGAGGAACACCGAUGGCGAAGGCAGCCUCCUGGAAAAGGUUAACCACACUGACGCUCAUGCACAACGUGGGGAGCAAGCAGGUUAGAUACCCUGGUAGUCCACGCCCUAAACAUUAUCCCAACUAGCUGUUGGGGCCUUCGGGCCUUGGUAGCGCAGCUAACGCGUGAAGUUGACCGCCUGGGAGGUACGGUCGCAAGAUUAAAAUAAAGGAAUUGACGGGGACCCGCACAAGCGGUGGAUGAUGUGGAUUAAUUCGAUGCAACGCGAAAACCUUACCUACCCUUGACAUGUCUGGAAUCCCGAAGAGAUUUGGGAGUGCUCGCAGAGAACCAGGACACAGGUGCUGCCAUGGCUGUCGUCAGCUCGUGUCGUGAGAUGUUGGUUGAUCCGCAACGAGCGCAACCCUUGUCAUUAGUUGCUACGAAAGGGCGCUCUAAUGAGACUGCCGGUGACAAACCAAGGAAGGUGGGGAUGACGUCAGUCCUCAUGGCCCUUAUGGGUAGGGCUUCACACGUCAUACAAUGGUCCGCGGACAGAGGGUCGCCAACCGCAGAGAUAAUCCCAGAAACCCGAUCGUAGUCCGGAUCGCAGUCUGCAACUCGACUGCGUGAAGUCGGAAUCGCUGGUAAUCGCGGAUCAGCAUGUCGCGGUGAAUACGUUCCCGGGUCUUGUACACACCGCCCGUCACACCAUGGGGGUGGGUUUUACCCAGAAGUAGUUAGCCUAACCGUAAGGAGGGCGAUUUCCACGGUAGGAUUCAUGACUGGGUGAAGUCGUAACAAGGUAG
Molecule: ribosomal RNA, 1475 nt
Filed under: uncultured Bordetella sp.
Lineage: Bacteria; Pseudomonadati; Pseudomonadota; Betaproteobacteria; Burkholderiales; Alcaligenaceae
Description: partial 16S-23S ribosomal RNA intergenic spacer
Rfam family: Bacterial small subunit ribosomal RNA
Source: RNAcentral